AAUAAUACUGAGAAGAUUAGCAUGGCCCUGGCCCAAGGAUAACACACAAAUUUAUGAAGCCUUCCAUAUUUUU
RNAcentral lists this small nuclear RNA (73 nucleotides) under Cervus elaphus hippelaphus. The record is from RNAcentral. Lineage: Eukaryota; Metazoa; Chordata; Mammalia; Artiodactyla; Cervidae.